This 479-nucleotide ribosomal RNA is filed under the name uncultured bacterium. Its description in RNAcentral is "partial 16S ribosomal RNA". It matches the Rfam family "Bacterial small subunit ribosomal RNA", at positions 28 to 507 of the family's 1533-position model. The record is from RNAcentral.
GAUGAACGCUAGCGGGAGGCCUAACACAUGCAAGCCGAGCGGUAUUGUUUCUUCGGAAAUGAGAGAGCGGCGUACGGGUGCGUAACACGUGUGCAACCUGCCUUUAUCUGGGGGAUAGCCUUUCGAAAGGAAGAUUAAUACUCCAUAAUAUAUUGAACGGCAUCGUUUAAUAUUGAAAGCUCCGGCGGAUAGAGAUGGGCACGCGCAAGAUUAGCUAGUUGGUGAGGUGACGGCUCACCAAGGCGAUGAUCUUUAGGGGGCCUGAGAGGGUGAUCCCCCACACUGGUACUGAGACACGGACCAGACUCCUACGGGAGGCAGCAGUGAGGAAUAUUGGUCAAUGGGUGCAAGCCUGAACCAGCCAUCCCGCGUGAAGGACGACUGCCCUAUGGGUUGUAAACUUCUUUUGUAUAGGGAUAAACCUACCCUCGAGAGGGUAGCUGAAGGUACUAUACGAAUAAGCACCGGCUAACUCCGUG